Molecule: ribosomal RNA, 253 nt
Filed under: uncultured bacterium
Lineage: Bacteria
Description: partial 16S ribosomal RNA
Rfam family: Bacterial small subunit ribosomal RNA
Source: RNAcentral
UACGAAGGGGGCUAGCGUUGCUCGGAAUUACUGGGCGUAAAGGGCGCGUAGGCGGACCUGUCAGUCAGGCGUGAAAGCCCAGGGCUCAACCCUGCAACUGCGCUUGAUACUGCGGGUCUAGAGUGCCGGAGAGGAUGGUGGAAUUCCCAGUGUAGAAGUGAAAUUCGUAGAUAUUGGGAAGAACACCGGUGGCGAAGGCGGCCAUCUGGACGGCAACUGACGCUGAGGCGCGAAAGCGUGGGGUGCAAACAGG